GAUGAACGCUGGCGGCGUGCCUAAUACAUGCAAGUCGAGCGAACAGACGAGGAGCUUGCUCCUCUGACGUUAGCGGCGGACGGGUGAGAAACACGUGGAUAACCUACCUAUAAGACUGGGAUAACUUCGGGAAACCGGAGCUAAUACCGGAUAAUAUAUUGAACCGCAUGGUUCAAUAGUGAAAGCCGGUUUUGCUGUCACUUAUAGAUGGAUCCGCGCCGCAUUAGCUAGUUGGUAAGGUAACGGCUUACCAAGGCAACGAUGCGUAGCCGACCUGAGAGGGUGAUCGGCCACACUGGAACUGAGACACGGUCCAGACUCCUACGGGAGGCAGCAGUAGGGAAUCUUCCGCAAUGGGCGAAAGCCUGACGGAGCAACGCCGCGUGAGUGAUGAAGGUCUUCGGAUCGUAAAACUCUGUUAUUAGGGAAGAACAAAUGUGUAAGUAACUAUGCACGUCUUGACGGUACCUAAUCAGAAAGCCACGGCUAACUACGUG
Molecule: ribosomal RNA, 497 nt
Filed under: uncultured bacterium
Lineage: Bacteria
Description: partial 16S ribosomal RNA
Rfam family: Bacterial small subunit ribosomal RNA
Source: RNAcentral